Long non-coding RNA from Mastomys coucha (southern multimammate mouse), 473 nucleotides. RefSeq lists it as uncharacterized. The record is from RefSeq and is a predicted model, not a curated record. The transcript is spliced from 3 exons. NCBI's taxonomy places the organism in Eukaryota, Metazoa, Chordata, Mammalia, Rodentia, Muridae.
GUGACAUAUUUAGUACCCACUGUACACAGGGCAUUGUGCUAGCAUUUCUAUGAGUCUUCUUCAACAAGGUGAACAUGAGUCAUGAUGCCAGGAGUUAGCCCCUGGAGCCGGGCAACUACUGGGAAGGACAACUAAAGAAGAGCGGUACCUGGACAGCGGAGGCUGAGACCAAUGCCCUUCAAGUCACACGAGUUACUCUGAUGACGCAGACUCCUACCAUUCCAGGUGGAAGAACGUUUCACAAGUCCAGCUCCAGGGAUAGAGGCUAGCAUUCUGGAACCAACUUCCACAGUGACCUCAUCUCUAUAUGGAAUAUAAGCAUGUUCUACAGCAGACAGCAGAACUCAGCCUUACUGAACCUACUCUAGGUGGGUGACCACUUACAAAGUACACGGCUCCGAAGCUCCCAUGUCCAAUUUCAUGCAAAUCAAUAAAAAGCUCUUCAGGGUCAUCCUUGAAGAACAGAUCGGCAA